GAUGAACGCUGGCGGCGUGCCUAAUACAUGCAAGUCGAGCGAACGGACGAGAAGCUUGCUUCUCUGAUGUUAGCGGCGGACGGGUGAGUAACACGUGGAUAACCUACCUAUAAGACUGGGAUAACUUCGGGAAACCGGAGCUAAUACCGGAUAAUAUUUUGAACCGCAUGGUUCAAAAGUGAAAGACGGUCUUGCUGUCACUUAUAGAUGGAUCCGCGCUGCAUUAGCUAGUUGGUAAGGUAACGGCUUACCAAGGCAACGAUGCAUAGCCGACCUGAGAGGGUGGUCGGCCACCCGGGAACUGGACCGCCGUCCCGGCUCCUGCGGGAGGGCACAGUCGGGAAUGUUCCGCAAUAGGGGGGAACCUUGCGGAACCAGCGCGCGUGGGUUGUGGAAGUGCUCCGAUCGUAAAAAUGUGUUUUUAGGGAAGAACAGAUGUGUAAGUAACUGUGCACAUCUUGACGGUACCUAAUCAGAAAGCCACGGCUAACUACGUG
RNAcentral lists this ribosomal RNA (497 nucleotides) under uncultured bacterium. RNAcentral's name for it is "partial 16S ribosomal RNA". It matches the Rfam family "Bacterial small subunit ribosomal RNA", at positions 28 to 507 of the family's 1533-position model. The record is from RNAcentral.